Molecule: long non-coding RNA, 257 nt
Filed under: Homo sapiens (human)
Lineage: Eukaryota; Metazoa; Chordata; Mammalia; Primates; Hominidae
Description: non-protein coding lnc-UBE2Q2L-3:2
Source: RNAcentral
GGAUCACAAACUUUUGACUCUCUUCCACCAGAAACUCAAGCACUGAAAGCAGCUUUUAUGAAAUGUGGAAGUGAGGACACUGCUCCAGUUAUCAUGUUUGUUUCCAAAAUGUUUGCAGUUGAUGCUAAGGCCUUGCCUCAGAAUAAGCCAAGGCCUCUCACUCAAGAAGAAAUUGCUCAGAGACGUGAGCGUGCAAGACAAAGGCGUGACGAGCAACAGGUGGAAAGUAUGACCCCCAAACCUGUGCUCCAGGAAGA